Molecule: long non-coding RNA, 297 nt
Organism: Daucus carota subsp. sativus
Lineage: Eukaryota; Viridiplantae; Streptophyta; Magnoliopsida; Apiales; Apiaceae
Exons: 3
Source: RefSeq, a predicted model, not a curated record
CUCAUCUCUUUCCUUAAACCCUCCUCUCAAUUGCACUGAAACGCGCACACACAACGCGCAAUGGCCUUGAGGCUUUUUCUUCUCGUAGCUCUGCUCUUGUUCUGUACUCUCCAGGUUUCAUCUGAUUCUGAGAUAACCGAUCAGGUCAAACCUUUGACCUAUGCCGAUUGUCAAGGGCUGUGCCAAGUGAGAUGCGGUUUGCAUUCGAGGAAAAACGUAUGCAUGAGAGCUUGUGGAACAUGUUGCGCACGAUGCAACUGCGUGCCGCCCGGCACGUAUGGCAACCGAGAGGCUUGC